UGAGUGCUUGUAAGGGUUGUCUCCUAAACCCGAUAAAAGGAGAAGAGGGGUGUAAGAAGGAGUUUGAUCUUCGCCUAUCAAAGGAAGAUCGUUAGUAGAUGCCAGUGGCCUCGACGGAAGAGGAAUCAGAGGAGUGGAUGUAGGUCAUGACGAUCGAACCACUAUAAACUAUCGUGUUCUCUAGUUUACAUUUUAUUCUUGCUGUUACCUUACUACAAACCUCGUUAAGUGCAUACUACCUUCAAUUUAUUAUGUAUGCUUUCAAGUUAAGUUUCUGAAAUUGGUUUUUCGUCGGAAACGAUUUUUAUCGUACGAAGUUUUUCAAACCAACGUAGUUUUUACAUCAUUUUCAGAUGUCAAGCCUUGAAAAUGGAUAUCAAGCCUUGACAUCAUUUUCAGAAAGAUACAUCAUGAUAGGAAUCAUGAUAGGGGUAUUGAUAAGUUUAAAUGAACUUAACUUAUCAAUAUGUCUCUUGAAUUCAAAGGCUUUGAAUUCAAGAAUGACUUAUCUCAAGUAUGGCAUAUAGAUAGGGGGAGUUAAGGUUAACUCCGUCAUCAAUUGAUUAUCAUCAUCAAAAAGGGGGAGAUUGUUGAAUCUCGAAUUUUGAUUAUAAAAUCAAUUAUCAUUUGGUUAUCUAAUCCAUAUGUUUGUAUAAGUGUGUAGGAUUAACUUCGAUGGCAGUAAAACAUACAGCAGGUGUUAAGUCGGAGUCAAGACCAAGAUCACAUUGGGGGUUCGAGAGUUCAUCGGAAGUCCGGACGAUCAUCGGAGGUUCUGAGGGAAUAAUUCGAGAAGUCUAGGAGCUUGCCAAAGAAGCUCAUCGGAACUUGCCAAGAGGAUCAUCGCAAGUCCAGGAGUUUGCCGGGAGUGCGCUGGAGCAUCGCCGAGGGUUCAUCGGAUGUUUGCUGGAACUUCGCCGGAAGCUCACCGAAAGAAGCGAUUGACACACCAGAACACGAUCUGCAGUAUUGAUGUCUUAAAUUGUUAUAGUUAGCAUGUAGAUUAAGUUAGGAUUGGGAGGUGAUCCCAUUAACUUAAUCUGGGGCCAAUUGGGCACUUGGAAAACCCAAAUUGGGCUGAAUAGAUCAGCUUAUUCGGACCUAGAAUUCCUGGCCGACGGUGGCACCGCCUAGGAGACUCGAUCUCCCAAGAGUUCUUGGCGGUAGUACUGCCCCUGUCAGGCGGUGGUAGCGCCCUUGUCAAGUGGUGAUAUCGCCUAAGCUCGGUCUCCGAGCAAUGUCAAGCGGUAGUACCGCUCAGAUUGAGCGGUAGUACUGCUCAGUGACAGAUGAUAGGCAGUAGUACCGCCCAAUUAUGGUAGUGGUACCGUCAAGACCCCGAAAAUCCAAGAAUGGACACUUUUAAGCUCCGAAUUCAAAAUGAUUGGGGCCUAUAUAAACCCCACCCUUUCCUGCAUGAAAGGGCAGUGAAAGCUUACUUUUAUUCUAAGUAUUUGAGAGCUUAAAAGUGUUGUAAAAGGCUAGAGUUCCUCUCCCUAUUUUCUUUCUAAGUCUUGACCAUUCAGGAGAGGAGUGAAAACUUGUAAAGGUUGUCUCCUAAACCCAGUAAAAGGAGAAGAGGGGUGUAAGAAGGAGUUUGAUCUUCACCUAUCAAAGGAAGAUCGUUAAUGGAUGGUGGUGGCCUCGACGGAAGAGGAAUCGGAGGAGUGGAUUUAGGUCACGACGACCAAACCACUAUAAACUGCCGUGUCCUCUAGUUUGCAUUUUAUUCUUGCUAUUAUCUUACU
Molecule: long non-coding RNA, 1748 nt
Filed under: Musa acuminata (dwarf banana)
Lineage: Eukaryota; Viridiplantae; Streptophyta; Magnoliopsida; Zingiberales; Musaceae
Description: long non-coding RNA (MACU_LNC009137)
Source: RNAcentral